GAUUUAAUAGUUUAAUAAAAACAAUGAUUUUGUAAAUCAUAAAUAGUGGUAUCUUUAAAUCA
This 62-nucleotide transfer RNA is filed under the name Mahmutkashgaria sulcatus. RNAcentral describes it as "tRNA-Thr". Lineage: Eukaryota; Metazoa; Arthropoda; Insecta; Hemiptera; Delphacidae. The record is from RNAcentral.